Molecule: ribosomal RNA, 1455 nt
Filed under: metagenome
Description: bacterial SSU rRNA
Rfam family: Archaeal small subunit ribosomal RNA
Source: RNAcentral
AUUGAUCCCGUCGGACCCCACUGCUAUCGAGAUGGGACUAAGGUAUGCUAGUCGAACGACCAGAACUAUGUCUGGAAGUGGCACACUGCUCAGUAACACGUAGCUAACCUACCCUUAGGACGUGGAUACCCCCGAGAAAUUGGGGUUAAUCCGCGAUAGAUGUAAUGUCCUGGAAUGGUAUUACGUCUAAAGGUAUUUCAUACAUGUUUGAAAUAUGCCUAAGGAUGGGGCUGCGGCCGAUCAGGCUGUUGGUGAGGUAAUGGCUCACCAAACCUUUGACCGGUACGGGCCAUGAGAGUGGUAGCCCGGAGAUGGACACUGAGACAAGGGUCCAGGCCCUAAGGGGCGCAGCAACCGCGAAACCUCCACAAUGCACUCACGUGCGAUGGGGCUAUCUCGAGUGCCACCUGAUGAAGGUGGCUUUUCCUAGGUCUUCAAAGCCUUGGGAAUAAGAGGGGGGCAAGACUGGUGUCAGCCGCCGCGGUAACACCAGCCCCUCGAGUGGUGGGGAUGAUUAUUUGGCCUAAAGCGUCCGUAGCCGGCCGAGCAAGUCUUCCGUUAAAUCCAGCGUCUCAAGCGUUGGACCGCGGGAGAUACUACACGGCUAGAGAGUGGGAGAGGUCAGCGGUAUUCUGGGGGUAGGGGCGAAAUCCUUUGAUCCCCGGAGGACCACCAGUGGCGAAGGCUGCUGACUAGAACACGUCUGACGGUCAGGGACGAAAGCUGGGGUAGCGAACCGGAUUAGAUACCCGGGUAGUCCCAGCCGUAAACGAUGCAUGCUAGGUGUUGGGUUGGCCACGAGCCACCCCAGUGCCGCAGGGAAGCCGUUAAGCAUGCCGCCUGGGAAGUACGAUCGCAAGAUUGAAACUUAAAUUGGCGGGGGAGCACCAUCAGGCGUGAAGCCUGCGGUUUAAUUGGAGUCAACGCCGGGAACCUUACCGGGAGCGACAGCAGAAUGAAGGCCAGAUUGAAGAUCUUGCCAGACGAGCUGAGAGGAGGUGCAUGGCCGUCGCCAGUUCGUGCCGUGAGGUGUUCUCUUAAGUGAGAUAACGAACGAGACCCGUGCCACAUGUUGCCACCAGUAUCUAAAGGAUAGCUGAGCACUCUUGUGGGACCGCAGCCGAUAAGGCUGAGGAAGGUACGGGCAACGGCAGGUCAGUAUGCCCCGAAUCUCCCGGGCCACACGCGGGCUGCAAUGGUACAGACAGAGGGCUGCCACCCCGAAAGGGGGAGCCAAUCCCUAAACUGUACCUCAGUUGGGAUCGAGGGUUGCAACCCACCCUCGUGAACAUGGAAUGCCUAGUAACCGCCAGUCAUCAUCUGGCGGUGAAUACGUCCCUGCUCCUUGCACACACUGCCCGUCGAACCACCCGAAUGAGGUUUGGGUGAGGAAUGGUCGAAUGUUGGCCGUUUCGAACCUGGGCCUCGUAAGGAGGGUUAAGUCGUAACAAGGUG